UGCCAUCUGGCCAGACUAAUAAAGGUCUGUUUUACUUUCCAACUUGUGCGGUGUGUUCCCUCCCGGGUGAUCUUCGCUGUAGUCAGCUCCUCGGAGCGUUUGGUAAGGCCCUCAGUCUUACACCACCACAUCUGGCUCCCAUUGUCUUUUGAUGUUCCCACAAGACUGAACCCAAUUCAGACGCUAACAGCUAGCUUGAACCUCCUGUACUUUUGACCAACUGGCUACAAGUGAAGUGUUCCCACGACCCCCUCCUCAAGUUAAAGAAUUUCCUACAAUGGCUCGAAGAACUCUGGGAAAUGGUUUACUUAACUACCACUGGUAACUAUACAGCACGCAGCUCAGAACAGCCAACAGGAAGUGAUCCACAGGUCAAGGUAGGGGGGUGAGGGUCCCUGCCCCUUCCAGACCCGAACCCCCACCAACCUCCACAAGGUCAUGAUGCCAGAAGCUAUGGAAGUAUCCUGUCCUGAAGGGUUCUAGGAAGGUUAAGGUUACAUUAUCCAGGUAUGGUUGUUUGAGUCUUUGGCCCUCUUUCCUUCCUGGAUGUAUGGGGUGGGGCUGAAGGUGUCCACCCUCUAAGCACAUGUUGAUCCUUCUAGCAAUGGGUGCCAUCUUCCAAGGGGCUCACCAUGAAUAACAAAAGAUGCUCCUUUCUCCCCAUCACUCGGGGAACUGCACGGUUGCAGAAGCUCUGGGCCAGGGAUGGGUGAAGGCCAGACAUCUAUUCCUUGUUGUACCACAAGGCUCAUCUGGAGUCAUCCCUCUUCCAAGCUCACUCGAUGGUGGGUGGCUGCACCAAGGCCUUGGUGGGCUGAGGAGAGAGGGCCUCAGUUUCUCCCAAGCUGUUCCCAGGAGGCCUCUCUCAGCUCCCUUCCAUCUGGCCCACUCACAAAUGGCACCAGCUUCAUCAGAAUGAGGCAACCAGAAGAGCCAAUGAGGAUGGACAUCCUCAAGAUGCAGUCCCUGGCCUUUAUGUUCUACUUUCAAAAGCAACUUCUGUCACUCUUGCUGGUAAACAGGACAGAGAGCCCCAAGACUGUCUCCCAGGCUCUGAGAAGUCCAGUGAUUUUCUGCACACCUGCACUGACCAUCCUUGGACACUAGUCAUACAUAUUUCUUAUGAUCAUGGCCUCCUUUUCAAUACCUACAUGAGCCUAAUUCCUUUCCCAGUUAGCUCCUGAUAAUUCUCAAUGUGAGCCAAUCCACACAUGGAUGAAAUCUCUCCCAGUUAGCUGCUGCUAUUUCUCUUUCCCAAUGUUAGCUCAUCCACACACAGAUGUAAUAAACCCAGUUCUUCCCAGCUGGCUGCUGAAAUCUACCUCUGAUUUCUGUCUCUGUUCACUGG
Long non-coding RNA from Heterocephalus glaber (naked mole-rat), 1348 nucleotides. The record is from Ensembl. NCBI's taxonomy places the organism in Eukaryota, Metazoa, Chordata, Mammalia, Rodentia, Bathyergidae.